Molecule: long non-coding RNA, 317 nt
Organism: Phlebotomus argentipes
Lineage: Eukaryota; Metazoa; Arthropoda; Insecta; Diptera; Psychodidae
Exons: 3
Source: RefSeq, a predicted model, not a curated record
CCCCGGCUCGGGUUGCUUCCCUCGCACAGUCCAGAAUCCCUAUGGAGCGAGCGUGUGUCGGUUCCAGAGCACACGCAGUGACGAAGGAAAAACAACAGAGUAGCGCUACUUCAUAAUGGCUAUCUAUAUCUUGGGAUGGCUUCGAGGAUUCUACAAUUUUCCUUCAAUGGACACACCCUAACACCCAUUUGAAAAGAACACAGAGGGAAAAUAAACAGCAAUGCCAUGCGAUACACAAACCUUCUCCUCGGCGGCGGCAUUGGAGCCUUUCCGGUGAUGAAAGUUGGCGGCGGUGGCGGUGGUGGAAUCUGUCCGGA